GGUUGACCUCGGAUCAGGUAGGGAUACCCGCUGAACUUAAGCAUAUCAAUAAGCGGAGGAAAAGAAACCAACAGGGAUUGCCUUAGUAACGGCGAGUGAAGCGGCAACAGCUCAAAUUUGAAAGCUGGCCCUUUCAGGGUCCGCGUUGUAAUUUGUAGAGGAUGAUUCGGCGAGGGCUCCCGCCUAAGUCCCCUGGAACGGGGCGUCAUAGAGGGUGAGAAUCCCGUAUGCGGUGGGUUGCCUUAGCCAUGUGAAUCUCCUUCGACGAGUCGAGUUGUUUGGGAAUGCAGCUCUAAAUGGGAGGUAAAUUUCUUCUAAAGCUAAAUACCGGCCAGAGACCGAUAGCGCACAAGUAGAGUGAUCGAAAGAUGAAAAGCACUUUGGAAAGAGAGUUAAAAAGUACGUGAAAUUGUUGAAAGGGAAGGGCUCGCAGCCAGACUUGUCCGCAGUUGCUCAGCCGGUCUCCUGACCGGCGUACUCUUCUGCGGCCAGGCCAGCAUCAGUUCAGGCGGUCGGAUAAAGACCUCGGGAAUGUAGCUCCUCUCGGGGAGUGUUAUAGCCCGGGGUGGAAUGCGGCCAGCUUGGACUGAGGAUCUCGCUUCGGCAAGGAUGCUGGCGUAAUGGCUGUGAGCCGCCCGUCUUGAAACACGGACCAAGGAGUCUAACAUCUAUGCGAGUGUUUGGGUGUCAAACCCAUACGCGUAAUGAAAGUGAACGGAGGUGGGAACCCGCAAGGGCGCACCAUCGGCCGAUCCUGAUGUCUUCGGAUGGAUUUGAGCAAGAGCAUAGCUGUUGGGACCCGAAAGAUGGUGAACUAUGCCUGAAUAGGGUGAAGCCAGAGGAAACUCUGGUGGAGGCUCGCAGCGGUUCUGACGUGCAAAUCGAUCGUCAAAUUUGGGUAUAGGGGCGAAAGACUAAUCGAACCAUCUAGUAGCUGGUUCCUGCCGAAGUUUCCCUCAGG
RNAcentral lists this ribosomal RNA (961 nucleotides) under Barriopsis stevensiana. Its description in RNAcentral is "partial 28S large subunit ribosomal RNA". It matches the Rfam family "Eukaryotic large subunit ribosomal RNA", at positions 1 to 977 of the family's 3401-position model. Lineage: Eukaryota; Fungi; Ascomycota; Dothideomycetes; Botryosphaeriales; Botryosphaeriaceae. The record is from RNAcentral.